This 572-nucleotide long non-coding RNA is filed under the name Phoenix dactylifera (date palm). RNAcentral's name for it is "long non-coding RNA (PDAC_LNC020963)". The record is from RNAcentral. Lineage: Eukaryota; Viridiplantae; Streptophyta; Magnoliopsida; Arecales; Arecaceae.
UUUGAUCAGGGGACUCAGCACCCCAGCGCGUAGGUUGUGAUUCGGACCGUGUUUGAGUCAGUCUACAAUUUCUGUAAGAAUCCCUACAUCUUAGCACUUCUAUGCAUAUAUUGAUUUAUCGUUGGAUUUAUUUACGGUUUUGAUGUUAUUGCUUGUGAGAUGAUAUGAUACAUAUGAGACGAAUUUUUAUCAACAUAUUUCAUUAUUAUGUUGUUAUUGUUUAUGUGUUGAUGCGGCACCUAUGAGGCGUGCAUGUUGUUUUUAAUGAAUAUAUUGAGAUAUAUUCAUUUGGGAAGAAAUAACAUAUUUUUGAAAAUUUAUGAAAAUAUGUGAUGUGAUGGGAAUGUGAUCGAACAUGUAAAACUAGACAUGUAAUAUGGGUUGGACUAACCUUGUCAUGAGAUAGCGGCCACGACGUAGCUGAUGCGUGGGAUAGCCUACACGGGCUUACGGAUAGCGGCCACGAGCUGAUGCGUGGGAUAGCCUCCACGGGCUUACGCGUGGGAUAGCCUCCACGGGCUUACGGAUAGCGGCCACGAGCUGAUGCGUGGGAUAGCCUCCACGGGCUUACG